UAGAGGGAGUGCUCUUCGGAGAGCGCGGUGACAGGUGCUGCAUGACUGUUGUCAGCUCGUGUCGUGAGAUGUUCGGUUAAGUCCGGCAACGAGCGCAACCCCUAUCUUUAGUUGCCAUCAGGUGAUGCUGGGCACUCUAGAGAGACUGCCGGAGUGAAUUCGGAGGAAGGUGGGGAUGACGUCAAGUCCUCAUGGCCCUUAUAUCCAGGGCUACACACGUGCUACAAUGGUCGGUACAAAGGGCUGCUAACUCGCGAGAGUGUGCCAAUCCCAAAAAACCGGCCUCAGUUCGGAUUGCAGUCUGCAACUCGACUGCAUGAAGCUGGAAUCGCUAGUAAUCGUGGAUCAGCAUGCCACGGU
This 360-nucleotide ribosomal RNA is filed under the name uncultured Syntrophobacterales bacterium. Its description in RNAcentral is "bacterial SSU rRNA". It matches the Rfam family "Bacterial small subunit ribosomal RNA", at positions 1004 to 1363 of the family's 1533-position model. Lineage: Bacteria; Pseudomonadati; Thermodesulfobacteriota; Syntrophobacteria; Syntrophobacterales. The record is from RNAcentral.